RNAcentral lists this ribosomal RNA (116 nucleotides) under Salmonella enterica. RNAcentral also lists the same sequence under 1 other name. Lineage: Bacteria; Pseudomonadati; Pseudomonadota; Gammaproteobacteria; Enterobacterales; Enterobacteriaceae. The record is from RNAcentral.
CCUGGCGGCACUAGCUCGGUGGUCCCACCUGACCCCAUGCCGAACUCAGAAGUGAAACGCCGUAGCGCCGAUGGUAGUGUGGGGUCUCCCCAUGCGAGAGUAGGGAACUGCCAGGC